This 559-nucleotide ribosomal RNA is filed under the name uncultured marine eukaryote. Its description in RNAcentral is "SSU rRNA". It matches the Rfam family "Eukaryotic small subunit ribosomal RNA", at positions 4 to 565 of the family's 1831-position model. The record is from RNAcentral.
CUGGUUGAUCCUGCCAGUAGUGAUAUGCUCGUCUCAAAGAUUAAGCCAUGCAGGUCUAAGUACAAAUGGUAAAAAGUGAAACUGCAAACGGCUCAUUAAAUCAGUCUUGGUUUACUUGAUCGUACGUUUUAGUGGAUAACUGUGGUAAUUCUAGAGCUAAUACAUGCAACUAAGCGCCGACUUCGGAAGGCGCGCACUUAUCAGACCAAAACCGACCGGGUUCUACCCGAUACGUUUGGUGACUCUGGAUAAUUCCGCUGAUCGUAUGGUCUUGUACCGAUGACGGAUCAUUCAAGUGUCUGCCCUAUCAACUUUCGAAUGUAUGGUAUCUGCCUACGUUUGUGAUAACGGGUGACGGGGAAUCAGGGUUCGAUUCCGGAGAGGGAGCCUGAGAAACGGCUACCACAUCCAAGGAAGGCAGCAGGCGCGUAAAUUACCCACUUUUGACACGAAGAGGUAGUGACGAAAAAUAACAAUAUAGGACUCUAACGAGGCCCUGUAAUUGGAAUGAGUACAAUUUAAACUCUUUAACGAGUAUCCAUUGGAGGGCAAGUCUGGU